This 497-nucleotide ribosomal RNA is filed under the name uncultured bacterium. RNAcentral describes it as "partial 16S ribosomal RNA". It matches the Rfam family "Bacterial small subunit ribosomal RNA", at positions 28 to 507 of the family's 1533-position model. The record is from RNAcentral.
GAUGAACGCUGGCGGCGUGCCUAAUACAUGCAAGUCGAGCGAACAGAUGAGGAGCUUGCUCCUCUGACGUUAGCGGCGGACGGGUGAGUAACACGUGGAUAACCUACCUAUAAGACUGGGAUAACUUCGGGAAACCGGAACUAAUACCGGAUAAUAUAUUGAACCGCAUGGUUCAAUGGUUAAAGACGGUUUUGCUGUCACUUAUAGAUGGAUCCGCGCCGCAUUAGCUAGUUGGUAAGGUAACGGCUUACCAAGGCAACGAUGCGUAGCCGACCUGAGAGGGUGAUCGGCCACACUGGAACUGAGACACGGUCCAGACUCCUACGGGAGGCAGCAGUAGGGAAUCUUCCGCAAUGGGCGAAAGCCUGACGGAGCAACGCCGCGUGAGUGAUGAAGGUCUUCGGAUCGUAAAACUCUGUUAUUAGGGAAGAACAAAUGUGUAAGUAACUAUGCACGUCUUGACGGUACCUAAUCAGAAAGCCACGGCUAACUACGUG